Molecule: ribosomal RNA, 468 nt
Filed under: uncultured bacterium
Lineage: Bacteria
Description: partial 16S ribosomal RNA
Rfam family: Bacterial small subunit ribosomal RNA
Source: RNAcentral
GAUGAACGCUGGCGGCAUGCCUAACACAUGCAAGUCGAUCGGUAAGGCUCUUCGGUGUACCCGAGAGGCUGACGGCUGGGUGACGCGUAGACACACACACUGCCGUCAGGGAUAAGACACCGAACGGUGUUAUAAUACCGCAUACGGUCUUCGAAUUAAAGCAUUUAUGCGCUGAAGGAGUGGCCUGCGUCGUAUUAGCUAGUUGGUGAGGUAAUGGCUCACCUAGUCGAUGAUGUGUAGCGGACCUGAGAGGAGGAUCAGCCAAACUGGAACGGAGACACGGUCAGCAAGCCUAGGGGAGGCACCAGUCGCGAAUCUUCCGGGAGGGGCGAAAGCAUGAAGAAGCCACAACGCGUGAAUGCUGAAGGUCGUCGGACCGUGAAAAGGUGUUAGGACGGAGGAAUAAAAGUGUAUUUAAAUAGGGACGUUUUGACGGUAACUUAUGAGAAAGGGACGGCUAAAUACGUG